GUAUUAACUUUAUAGGCACUGAAGCCCAUUGAUUCAUUCUGUAAACAUUCUUAUGGGGUAUGUAAAAACAUAGACUGGAAAUGCAAGGAGAGCCGGCUUUCGCACAGCAAACCUACAACCGAGUUUCCUCGAAAGGUAUCCAAAUCUACAAAGGGUGCACAGGUGGAAAGAUAAAGAUGGACAGGCGUGCACAUGCUCCUAGGAGCCAGCUCAGCCAGCCAAGAUUAUUCAAUAAUGAUCCUUCCGCAGGUUCACCUACGGAAA
RNAcentral lists this unclassified non-coding RNA (264 nucleotides) under uncultured fungus. RNAcentral describes it as "sequence contains ITS1". The record is from RNAcentral. Lineage: Eukaryota; Fungi.